RNAcentral lists this ribosomal RNA (468 nucleotides) under uncultured bacterium. RNAcentral describes it as "partial 16S ribosomal RNA". It matches the Rfam family "Bacterial small subunit ribosomal RNA", at positions 28 to 507 of the family's 1533-position model. The record is from RNAcentral.
GACGAACGCUGGCGGCGUGCUUAACACAUGCCAGUCGAACGGAAAGGCCCUGCUUUUGUGGGGUGCUCGAGUGGCGAACGGGUGAGUAACACGUGAGUAACCUGCCCUUGACUUUGGGAUAACUUCAGGAAACUGGGGCUAAUACCGGAUAGGAGCUCCUGCUGCAUGGUGGGGGUUGGAAAGUUUCGGCGGUUGGGGAUGGACUCGCGGCUUAUCAGCUUGUUGGUGGGGUAGUGGCUUACCAAGGCUUUGACGGGUAGCCGGCCUGAGAGGGUGACCGGCCACAUUGGGACUGAGAUACGGCCCAGACUCCUACGGGAGGCAGCAGUGGGGAAUAUUGCACAAUGGGCGGAAGCCUGAUGCAGCAACGCCGCGUGCGGGAUGACGGCCUUCGGGUUGUAAACCGCUUUCGCCUGUAACGAAGCGUGAGUGACGGUAAUGGGUAAAGAAGCACCGGCUAACUACGUG